GACAGAGGGUGCAAACGUUGUUCGGAAUUACUGGGCGUAAAGCGUGUGUAGGCGGCUCUGCAAGUCGGAUGUGAAAGCCCCGGGCUCAUCCUGGGAAGUGCACUCGAAACUGCUGAGCUUGAGUAUCGGAGAGGUUGGUGGAAUUCUCGGUGGAGAGGUGAAAUUCGUAGAUAUCGAGGGGAACACCAGUGGCGAAGGCGGCCAACUGGACGAAUACUGACGCUGAGACACGAAAGCGUGGGGAGCAAACAGG
RNAcentral lists this ribosomal RNA (253 nucleotides) under uncultured bacterium. RNAcentral's name for it is "partial 16S ribosomal RNA". It matches the Rfam family "Bacterial small subunit ribosomal RNA", at positions 524 to 776 of the family's 1533-position model. The record is from RNAcentral.